GAUGAACGCUAGCGGCAGGCCUAACACAUGCAAGUCGAGGGGUAACUAGAGUGAUAGCAAUAUUACUUUGGCUAGACCGGCGCACGGGUGCGUAACACGUAUGCAACCUACCUUAUACUGGGGAAUAACUUCGAGAAAUCGGCGCUAAUACCCCAUAACAUUGCGAAGAGGCAUCUCUUUGCAAUUAAAGCUCCGGCGGUAUAAGAUGGGCAUGCGUCCGAUUAGCUAGUUGGUGAGGUAACGGCUCACCAAGGCUACGAUUGGUAGGGGUUCUGAGAAGAAGAUCCCCCAGACUGGUACUGAGACACGGACCAGACUCCUACGGGAGGCAGCAGUGAGGAAUAUUGCGCAAUGGACGAAAGUCUGACGCAGCCAUGCCGCGUGCAGGAUGACGGCCCUAUGGGUUGUAAACUGCUUUUGUACGGGAAUAAACCCUUCUACGUGUAGGAGGCUGAAGGUACCGUAAGAAUAAGCACCGGCUAACUCCGUGCCAGCAGCCGCGGUAA
Molecule: ribosomal RNA, 506 nt
Filed under: uncultured bacterium
Lineage: Bacteria
Description: partial 16S ribosomal RNA
Rfam family: Bacterial small subunit ribosomal RNA
Source: RNAcentral